Molecule: ribosomal RNA, 627 nt
Filed under: Nocardiopsis sp.
Lineage: Bacteria; Bacillati; Actinomycetota; Actinomycetes; Streptosporangiales; Nocardiopsidaceae
Description: bacterial SSU rRNA
Rfam family: Bacterial small subunit ribosomal RNA
Source: RNAcentral
GGAUACGACCCGCCACCUCAUGGUGGAAGGCGGAAAGUUUUUCGGUCAGGGAUGGGCUCGCGGCCUAUCUGCUUGUUGGUGGGGUAACGGCCUACCAAGGCGAUUACGGGUAGCCCGCCUGAGAGGGCGACCGGCCACACUGGGACUGAGACACGGCCCACACUCCUGCGGGAGGCAGCAGUGGGGAAUAUUGCGCAAUGGGCGAAAGCCUGACGCAGCGACGCCGCGUGGGGGAUGACGGCCUUCGGGUUGUAAACCUCUUUUACCACCAACGCAGGCUCGAAGUUCUCUUCGGGUUGACGGUAGGUGGGGAAUAAGGACCGGCUAACUACGUGCCAUCAGCCGCGGGAAUACGUAGGGUCCGAGCGUUGUCCGGAAUUAUUGGGCGUAAAGAGCUCGUAGGCGGCGUGUCCCGUCUGCUGUGAAAGACCGGGGCUUAACUCCGGUUCUGCAGUGGAUACGGGCAUGCUAGAGGUAGGUAGGGGAGACUGGAAUUCCUGGUGGUACGGCGAAAGGCGCAGAAAACAGGAGGAACACCGGGGGCGAAGGCGGGUCUCUGGGCCGUACCUGACGCUGAGGAGCGAAAGCAUGGGGAGCGAACAGGAGAGAAACCCGGGAAGCCCCGCC